UGCCGAAAGCUACUUUUGAAACAAAACAAGCUUCAAUCAAAAAAACUAAGAUACCACCUGAGAACCUUGAUAAUACCACAACACAACAACUGUAUGAUGUUAAUUUUGCCAGGAUUCCGAAAGCUAGUUUUGAAGCAAAACCAGUUUCUACCAAUGUAUCCACGAGUGGUACGAAACGUCAGUUUCAUGUUAUACAAGAACCGCGAACACUAUUCUUACGUCCAGCUCCCGGAAAAGCUAUUCAUUUAGAAGGUA
Molecule: long non-coding RNA, 255 nt
Organism: Toxorhynchites rutilus septentrionalis
Lineage: Eukaryota; Metazoa; Arthropoda; Insecta; Diptera; Culicidae
Exons: 3
Source: RefSeq, a predicted model, not a curated record